CUUGGUUAGUGGCGCACGGGUGCGUAACGCGUAUGCAACCUACCUUCCACAGGGGGAUAGCCCCGGGAAACCGGGAUUAAUACCGCAUAAGAUAACUGAGGCGGCAUCGCCUUGUUAUUAAAGUUUCGGCGGUGGAAGAUGGGCAUGCGUGCCAUUAGCUAGUUGGCGGGGUAAGGGCCCACCAAGGCGACGAUGGCUAGGGGUUCUGAGAGGAUGGUCCCCCACACUGGUACUGAGACACGGACCAGACUCCUACGGGAGGCAGCAGUAGGGAAUAUUGGGCAAUGGCCGCGAGGCUGACCCAGCCAUGCCGCGUGCAGGAAGAAGGCCUUCUGGGUUGUAAACUGCUUUUAUCUGGGAAGAAAACGCCCCUGCGGGGGUAACUGACGGUACCAGAUGAAUAAGCACCGGCUAACUCCGUGCCAGCAGCCGCGGUAAUACGGAGGGUGCAAGCGUUGUCCGGAUUUAUUGGGUUUAAAGGGUGCGUAGGCGGCCCGUUAAGUCAGCGGUGAAAUCCCGGGGCUCAACCCCGGAACUGCCGUUGAUACUGGCGGGCUUGAGUUCGGUCGAGGCGGGCGGAACUGGCGGUGUAGCGGUGAAAUGCUU
Molecule: ribosomal RNA, 606 nt
Filed under: bacterium 67-L049659-122-016-C09
Lineage: Bacteria
Description: bacterial SSU rRNA
Rfam family: Bacterial small subunit ribosomal RNA
Source: RNAcentral